UGCAAGUCGAACGGAAACAGGACGCUGUGAUCUCUUCGGAGUGAACUUGUCGCUGUCGAGUGGCGGACGGGUGAGUAAUGCAUAGGAAUUUGCCUCGAAGUGGGGGAUAGCCCGGAGAAAUCCGGAUUAAUACCGCAUGUGCUCUACGGAGCAAAGUGGACCUCUGAUUUAAGUUCACGCUUUGAGAUAAGCCUAUGUCGGAUUAGCUUGUUGGUAGGGUAAAAGCCUACCAAGGCGACGAUCCGUAGCUGGUUUGAGAGGAUGAUCAGCCACACUGGGACUGAGACACGGCCCAGACUCCUACGGGAGGCAGCAGUGGGGAAUAUUGGACAAUGGGCGCAAGCCUGAUCCAGCAAUGCCGCGUGUGUGAAGAAGGCCUGCGGGUUGUAAAGCACUUUUAUCGGGAAAGAAAAACACAGGGUUAGUACCCCUGUGCCUUGACGGUACCCGAAGAAUAAGCACCGGCUAACUCAGUGCCAGCAGCCGCGGUAAUACUGAGGGUGCAAGCGUUAAUCGGAAUUACUGGGCGUAAAGCGAGUGUAGGCGGCUUCGUAAGUCGGAUGUGAAAGCCCCGGGCUUAACCUGGGAAUUGCAUUCGAUACUGCGCGGCUAGAGUUUGAUAGAGGAAAGUGGAAUUCCAGGUGUAGCGGUGAA
RNAcentral lists this ribosomal RNA (654 nucleotides) under uncultured Pseudomonadota bacterium. Its description in RNAcentral is "bacterial SSU rRNA". It matches the Rfam family "Bacterial small subunit ribosomal RNA", at positions 56 to 685 of the family's 1533-position model. The record is from RNAcentral. Lineage: Bacteria; Pseudomonadati; Pseudomonadota.